AAGCCGAACUGGGUCAAAUAUGUAAGAAAAAAAAGAAGGAAAUUUUUGUGGUAAAAUUUGUAAUGGGUCGGAUGCGUGAUUGAGUAAUUAGAAACCAUGAUUUGUAAUAAAUAUAAUUGUUUGGUCGUAUAGACCAAAUGGGUCAAAUGAUGGUGAUAACAUCAUAUGACCAUAUUGACUAAUGUUGGUUGUUAAGUCAUAUGUUUACAGGAACGAAUAGCAAUUUGGAUAAUUGCGUCAUCAUAGAAUAUUGAAUUAAUAAUAGCAAGGUAUAAACGGGUCUAUACGUUGACUCGAGCCAGGUGAUGUUCGUCUCAUUUCGGAUGCCGAUCAAGCAAGAAUUCAAGAACCGAACACAAAGUUUUGAAGCUUCCGCGCUAACCUAAUCUUGUUUGAGACAAUGUUUAUUUGUAAACACUAAACUCAAUGUUGUAUGUUUAAACUAGUUAGUUUGUAAACUAGAAUACCAUAACCAUGUAAACUUAGUUUUUAUAACUAAGUUUUGAAA
Helianthus annuus (common sunflower) is the source of this 508-nucleotide long non-coding RNA. RefSeq lists it as uncharacterized. The record is from RefSeq and is a predicted model, not a curated record. The transcript has 2 exons. Lineage: Eukaryota; Viridiplantae; Streptophyta; Magnoliopsida; Asterales; Asteraceae.